CCUCAUUUCUUCUUUUUCCUUUUCCUGCGUCUCUUCUCUCUGUUUUUUUUCUUUUCUUUUCUCUCUCUCAAACCCUCAUGCUUCAACUCCAUAAUCGGAAGCUAAGGCUUGAGAAUCUCGCAACAAGGCAAGAAGAAAACGUGAUCUACGGAUAGAGGGCUACGCAUCUAUCCGAACAAAAUCUUGAUCGGCCAACUUUGGAGUUCCUAGCAAAUUCGGAGGUUUUCAUUUUUGAGCCGGAAGCAUAUGGAUAAUGAGUUUAUCCGUCGGUGUAUAGUCCGUAAACCCGCGCGGGAUAAGGUGUUCCAUAGGCCUUUAGGUUAGUAGCCCAUAAAUUUGGAUGAUUAGGGACCUGAUCAGUCGCCUAGGAUUGGUACACAACUUGUUAAUUUGGACUAUUGGUCUUAUGUGCUCUUAUUUUCUCCUAUUGACUUAUAAUUUGAUGUGUUUUAUGUUUGAAGGAUUUUGGAUAUAUGAGAUGAGAUGAGCUUACGUGGUUUGGUUAUGACUUGGUAUUUGGAGAUUUGGAUUAUUAUCUGAACGGAUUAUUUUUAUCAUUAUUUCUGUUGGAUACUUGAGAAGUAAAAGUUAUUAUGUAUUCAUUUGUUCUAAGUUACGAUAUAUCCAAUGGUUAUCUUUUGAGGCUUAAUAAAAUGCAAGUUUUUGUAGAAUAUUGUAUAUACUCACGAA
Rhododendron vialii is the source of this 690-nucleotide long non-coding RNA. RefSeq lists it as uncharacterized. The transcript is spliced from 2 exons. NCBI's taxonomy places the organism in Eukaryota, Viridiplantae, Streptophyta, Magnoliopsida, Ericales, Ericaceae. The record is from RefSeq and is a predicted model, not a curated record.